CCGCCCGUCAAACCAUGGGAGCUGGUAAUGCCCGAAGUCGGUUUAUAAAGAAACUGCCUAAGGCAGGACUGGUGACUGGGGUUAAGUCGUAACAAGGUAUCCCUACGAGAACGUGGGGAUGGAUUACCUCCUUUCUACGGAGUACAAAAGACUAAUUAGAAAAUUAAUUAGUAUCUAACCUACUUAAAAAAUCAGACCUGUUAUUACAAUAUAUAUUUAUGUCAUGUGGCUUUUUACAAGGUCGAAGUCUUAUAUCUAGUUUUGAGAGAAUAUCUCUCAUUUGUUCUUUGAAAACUGAAUAGUAAAUUUUUUGAUAUUUACAACGACAUCUAAAUAAAUUAAUUUGGUUAAUUUGUUUUGAUUCAUCGAGUAAUCAUUUAAAUAUGAUUCAUUGAAAUGUCUUAAAAUACACAUCUGUAACAAUCAAUAGGAAAAUACAAAUAUACUUUUAAAUAAGUAAGAGUUUGUGGUGGAUGCCUUGGGUCUGAAAGUCGAUGAAGGACGUGAUUACCUGCGAUAAGCCUCGUGGAGCUGGAAAUGCGCAUUGAAACGGGGAUUUCCGAAUGGGGAAACCUAGCUAGAGUAAUGUCUAGUUGCUUAUUUCUGAAUACAUAGGAAAUAAUGUGAGACACCAUGUGAACUGAAACAUCUUAGUAGCAUGAGGAAAAGAAAAUAAAUAAUGAUUUCUUCAGUAGCGGCGAGCGAACGAGAAAGAGCCCAAACCACAUUUAGUGGGGUUGUAGGACAGUCUACAUAGAGUUACAAAAUUUAAUGAUAGCAGAAGCUUUUGGGAAAAAGCGGCACAGAAGGUGAUACCCCUGUACGCGAAAUCAUUAAAUCUCUUGACUGUAUCCUGAGUAGGGCGGGGCACGUGAAACCCUGUCUGAAUCUGCCGGGACCACCCGGUAAGGCUAAAUACUAAUCAGACACCGAUAGUGAACUA
Molecule: small RNA, 943 nt
Filed under: Mycoplasmopsis maculosa
Lineage: Bacteria; Bacillati; Mycoplasmatota; Mycoplasmoidales; Metamycoplasmataceae
Description: bacterial LSU rRNA
Rfam family: Bacterial large subunit ribosomal RNA (bases 447-943)
Source: RNAcentral